AGAGCGAACGCUGGCGGCAGGCUUAACACAUGCAAGUCGAACGGAUUCUUCGGGAUUAGUGGCGGACGGGUGAGUAACACGUGGGAACGUGCCUUUAGGUUCGGAACAACACAGGGAAACUUGUGCUAAUACCGGAUGUGCCCUUCGGGGGAAAGAUUUAUCGCCUUUAGAGCGGCCCGCGUCUGAUUAGCUUGUUGGUGAGGUAAAGGCUCACCAAGGCUACGAUCAGUAGCUGGUCUGAGAGGAUGGCCAGCCACAUUGGGACUGAGACACGGCCCAAACUCCUACGGGAGGCAGCAGUGGGGAAUCUUGCGCAAUGGGGGAAACCCUGACGCAGCCAUGCCGCGUGGAUGAUGAAGGUCUUAGGAUUGUAAAAUCCUUUCAGCGGGGACGAUAAUGACGGUACCCGCAGAAGAGCCCCGGCUAACUUCGUGCCAGCAGCCGC
RNAcentral lists this ribosomal RNA (445 nucleotides) under uncultured bacterium. Its description in RNAcentral is "SSU rRNA". It matches the Rfam family "Bacterial small subunit ribosomal RNA", at positions 26 to 518 of the family's 1533-position model. The record is from RNAcentral.